This 935-nucleotide long non-coding RNA is filed under the name Fukomys damarensis (Damara mole-rat). RNAcentral describes it as "lncRNA (ENSFDAG00000031832.1)". The record is from RNAcentral. Lineage: Eukaryota; Metazoa; Chordata; Mammalia; Rodentia; Bathyergidae.
CCGCGUUCUCAGGAUGACACAUCUGGAAGCUCGUGUUCAUCUGGACCAACAUGGCGCAUUGGUGCCGUGAGCCUGUCAAGGUGUGACCUGGUUUCUGUAAUCACAGUGUGCUUUUCUUCCUUAGGCCUCAUAAGUAGUCCACAGAAAGACCAUACAUCCAUCUGGAUCCUCCUCACACCUUCACCGUGCCCUGAGUGUCCCUUGGUUGCUCUGAUGGGAUCCAGUACUGAACGUGAAAGGAUGACUUUCCAACUCCAGCUCUCCCUCCAUAAUUUCACAACUGUUGGAACCCUUCCUUAUCUACUUAGUAUGAUAUUGACUCAUAAAAUGUAUAACUCACCACCGCCCCUGAAAUGUAACCACAGAUCCUCAACAGAGUGAAACCUGAGUUUUCCCAAGAGAACUUUAUGAACUCUGGCAACUCCCCUACAGCAUUCAUUUCUGCAUCCCACCAACACAUGCGGCCAUUUCCCUGGUAUUUGCUACUGUCUCAAACAUCACAGAACAGCUCCUUUUCUGCAAGCCGUCGCCACGGGCUCUGUGACACUUCUCCCUGAGUUCCGCUGGCCACUCUUUCAUUAUGCGCCAUUUCCUCUGUUUGCUGCUGAAGAAUUCUAAGGAUUUAUCCCAGAUGACUCUUCUCCCUCAUUACCUGAUUUUUCUUGCACUAAAAGAUAAGUACUUCUUUCUAUGUCUUUGGAUUUAAUAAGCACAUAUGUAACAGUAACAGCCUGGUAAAAUAACCUCCAAGGCUCCAAACAUGACCUCUCACUUGAGGGAAAAAAAAAACCUACUGUAAGGAGGUGUCACAAAUUUAGCAUGUUCUAAACUGCAAUACUCAUCUUCCUUCUACCUUUAUCAACACACAGGAAUCCCUUGAGAGCACAAAGAAAUGUACAUUCUAUAUUCCGUAUCCUGUAAGUCUUGAUUCAGCC